This 406-nucleotide ribosomal RNA is filed under the name uncultured bacterium. RNAcentral describes it as "partial 16S ribosomal RNA". It matches the Rfam family "Bacterial small subunit ribosomal RNA", at positions 29 to 526 of the family's 1533-position model. The record is from RNAcentral.
AUUGAACGCUGGCGGCAGGCCUAACACAUGCAAGUCGAGCGAGCGGCGGACGGGUGAGGACUGUCAGGGAACCUGCCAGAGGGGGGGAGAUAACGACUGGAGGCGGUAGCUACUCACACAUCCCAUCAGAUGUGCCCAGGUCGGAUUAGCUAGUGGGUGGGGUAAAGGCUCACCGAGGCGACGAUCCCUAGCUGGUCUGAGAGGAUGACCAGCCACACUGGAACGGAGACACGGUCCAGACUCCUACGGGAGGCAGCAGUGGGGAAUAUUGCACCAUGGGCGCAAGCCUGAUGCAGCCAUGCCGCGUGUGUGAAGAAGGCCUUCGGGUUGUAAAGCACUUUCAGUGGGGAGGCGUUACCCGCAGAAGAAGCACCGGCUAACUCCGUGCCAGCAGCCGCGGUAAUAC